UGGGGAAUUUUGCACAAUGGGGGAAACCCUGAUGCAGCGACGCCGCGUGAUUUAGAAGGCCUUCGGGUUGUAAAAAUCUUUUUUACGGGAUGAAAAUGACAGUACCGUAAGAAUAAGGUCCGGCUAAAUACGUGCCAGCAGCCGCGGUAAUACGUAUGGACCGAGCGUUGUCCGGAAUCAUUGGGCGUAAAGGGUACGUAGGCGGCCUAGUAAGUUAGAAGUGAAAUAAUAUAGCUCAACUAUAUAAAGCUUUUAAAACUGCUAGGCUUGAGAGCUGGAAGGGAAAGUGGAAUUCCUAGUGUAGCGGUGAAAUGCGCAGAUAUUAGGAAGAAUACCGGUGGCGAAGGCGACUUUCUGGUCAUCAUCUGACGCUGAGGUACGAAAGCGUGGGUAGCAAACAGG
This 402-nucleotide ribosomal RNA is filed under the name bacterium. RNAcentral's name for it is "partial 16S ribosomal RNA". It matches the Rfam family "Bacterial small subunit ribosomal RNA", at positions 355 to 776 of the family's 1533-position model. The record is from RNAcentral.